UCAUUGCUUAUAUCUCAUGGUAACCUUGGU
Molecule: non-coding RNA, 30 nt
Filed under: Mus musculus (house mouse)
Lineage: Eukaryota; Metazoa; Chordata; Mammalia; Rodentia; Muridae
Source: RNAcentral